This 1554-nucleotide ribosomal RNA is filed under the name Escherichia coli. RNAcentral's name for it is "bacterial SSU rRNA". It matches the Rfam family "Bacterial small subunit ribosomal RNA". The record is from RNAcentral. RNAcentral also lists the same sequence under 2 other names. Lineage: Bacteria; Pseudomonadati; Pseudomonadota; Gammaproteobacteria; Enterobacterales; Enterobacteriaceae.
UUAAAUUGAAGAGUUUGAUCAUGGCUCAGAUUGAACGCUGGCGGCAGGCCUAACACAUGCAAGUCGAACGGUAACAGGAAGAAGCUUGCUUCUUUGCUGACGAGUGGCGGACGGGUGAGUAAUGUCUGGGAAACUGCCUGAUGGAGGGGGAUAACUACUGGAAACGGUAGCUAAUACCGCAUAACGUCGCAAGACCAAAGAGGGGGACCUUCGGGCCUCUUGCCAUCGGAUGUGCCCAGAUGGGAUUAGCUAGUAGGUGGGGUAACGGCUCACCUAGGCGACGAUCCCUAGCUGGUCUGAGAGGAUGACCAGCCACACUGGAACUGAGACACGGUCCAGACUCCUACGGGAGGCAGCAGUGGGGAAUAUUGCACAAUGGGCGCAAGCCUGAUGCAGCCAUGCCGCGUGUAUGAAGAAGGCCUUCGGGUUGUAAAGUACUUUCAGCGGGGAGGAAGGGAGUAAAGUUAAUACCUUUGCUCAUUGACGUUACCCGCAGAAGAAGCACCGGCUAACUCCGUGCCAGCAGCCGCGGUAAUACGGAGGGUGCAAGCGUUAAUCGGAAUUACUGGGCGUAAAGCGCACGCAGGCGGUUUGUUAAGUCAGAUGUGAAAUCCCCGGGCUCAACCUGGGAACUGCAUCUGAUACUGGCAAGCUUGAGUCUCGUAGAGGGGGGUAGAAUUCCAGGUGUAGCGGUGAAAUGCGUAGAGAUCUGGAGGAAUACCGGUGGCGAAGGCGGCCCCCUGGACGAAGACUGACGCUCAGGUGCGAAAGCGUGGGGAGCAAACAGGAUUAGAUACCCUGGUAGUCCACGCCGUAAACGAUGUCGACUUGGAGGUUGUGCCCUUGAGGCGUGGCUUCCGGAGCUAACGCGUUAAGUCGACCGCCUGGGGAGUACGGCCGCAAGGUUAAAACUCAAAUGAAUUGACGGGGGCCCGCACAAGCGGUGGAGCAUGUGGUUUAAUUCGAUGCAACGCGAAGAACCUUACCUGGUCUUGACAUCCACGGAAGUUUUCAGAGAUGAGAAUGUGCCUUCGGGAACCGUGAGACAGGUGCUGCAUGGCUGUCGUCAGCUCGUGUUGUGAAAUGUUGGGUUAAGUCCCGCAACGAGCGCAACCCUUAUCCUUUGUUGCCAGCGGUCCGGCCGGGAACUCAAAGGAGACUGCCAGUGAUAAACUGGAGGAAGGUGGGGAUGACGUCAAGUCAUCAUGGCCCUUACGACCAGGGCUACACACGUGCUACAAUGGCGCAUACAAAGAGAAGCGACCUCGCGAGAGCAAGCGGACCUCAUAAAGUGCGUCGUAGUCCGGAUUGGAGUCUGCAACUCGACUCCAUGAAGUCGGAAUCGCUAGUAAUCGUGGAUCAGAAUGCCACGGUGAAUACGUUCCCGGGCCUUGUACACACCGCCCGUCACACCAUGGGAGUGGGUUGCAAAAGAAGUAGGUAGCUUAACCUUCGGGAGGGCGCUUACCACUUUGUGAUUCAUGACUGGGGUGAAGUCGUAACAAGGUAACCGUAGGGGAACCUGCGGUUGGAUCACCUCCUUACCUUAAAGAA